AGACGUGUUCUCUUACGGUCUGGAGGGGAGGGUGGUCAGGAGGACAGAGGGUAACACCGAUGGCUCAGUCAUUGGUGGAAAUGCCUCGGCUGAAGGUCCUGAGGGUGAAGGCACAGG
Leopardus geoffroyi (Geoffroy's cat) is the source of this 117-nucleotide long non-coding RNA. RefSeq lists it as uncharacterized. The transcript is spliced from 3 exons. The record is from RefSeq and is a predicted model, not a curated record. Lineage: Eukaryota; Metazoa; Chordata; Mammalia; Carnivora; Felidae.